This 365-nucleotide ribosomal RNA is filed under the name uncultured bacterium. RNAcentral describes it as "bacterial SSU rRNA". It matches the Rfam family "Bacterial small subunit ribosomal RNA", at positions 29 to 412 of the family's 1533-position model. The record is from RNAcentral.
AACGAACGCUGGCGGCAUGCCUAACACAUGCAAGUCGAACGAGACCUUCGGGUCUAGUGGCGCACGGGUGCGUAACGCGUGGGAAUCUGCCCUUGGGUUCGGAAUAACAGUUAGAAAUGACUGCUAAUACCGGAUAAUGUCUUCGGACCAAAGAUUUAUCGCCCAGGGAUGAGCCCGCGUAGGAUUAGCUAGUUGGUGAGGUAAAGGCUCACCAAGGCGACGAUCCUUAGCUGGUCUGAGAGGAUGAUCAGCCACACUGGGACUGAGACACGGCCUAGACUCCUACGGGAGGGCAGCAGUGGGGAAUAUUGGGACCAAAUGGGCGGAAAAGGCCUGAUCCACGCAAUAGCCGCGUGAGUGAUGAA